AUUCUCAUCCAGUUUUCCUGGUGAUGAGAAGACAGGUAUUUAAGCCUGUGUAUAUUUUAUAUUAAAUAUACACAGCAAUCACUGACUCUCAAAGCUAUCAGAUCUGGGUUGUAAAAAGAGGAAUGACCACUAGAAGGCAGCAAAGAAAUAUUAAAAUGCUAAAUCUUGGCAGCCAACCUGUCAGCAUCUGGAUUUUAGUUCAGUGGAAGGGUAGCGUACAAAUUAUUUAAAAUUAGGUUAUCCUGAGACAAAGCAAAUCACCAACAGUUCCUGUAUGAAUUUACUGGGGAUCAAAUAACAUGCAAAUUUUUGAACAAAAGGCUGGAAAACUGCAGAAUUAUUUCUAUCCCCUGCCUUUCUGUAUAUCCUGUAGGAGAAGCUCAAAAGAUUCCUCAGAAUUAGCACUGAUGUUACUGAUGAUAAUGAAACAUCUGCAACAAAACAGCCAAGCUCAUAGAACACUAAGGACUCCUCAGAUUCAACAGCAUGAAAUAACAGAGUUGGAAGGGACCUUGUAGGUCAUCUAGUCAACUCCCAAGUCUC
Long non-coding RNA from Thamnophis sirtalis, 543 nucleotides. RefSeq lists it as uncharacterized. Lineage: Eukaryota; Metazoa; Chordata; Lepidosauria; Squamata; Natricidae. The record is from RefSeq and is a predicted model, not a curated record.